AUGGCAUCUUAUUUUAGAGAGCAUGACUGCGAGCCAUUGAACCCUGAGCAUGGGGCCUGCAACAAUAUGUUGCUGGAACUAGCGAGAAGAGUGCCCCCCCCACCUCCCCGCAGCAGAUCACUCUUUAAUAGGAUGGACUUUGACGACAUGGGAUUGGUAGAUUAGAAACACCACCUUCCCCCACCAGCUGCCAAGGCUGUGGUGGAGAGCCUCCCGAGAACAGUCAUCGGUAGCUCCAAGGCUGAUCUCAAGUGCCCCGUGUGUCUUUUGGAAUUUGAGGAGGAGGAGACUGUCAUUGAGAUGCCCUGCCAUCAUCUCUUCCAUUCCAACUGCAUUCUGUCCUGGCUAAGUAAGACAAAUUCCUGCCCUUGGUGCUGCCAUGAGCUGCCCACUGAUGACGACAGUUAUGAAGAGCACAAGAAAGACAAGGCUCGGAGGCGGCAGCAGCACCGCCUGGAGAAACUCCAUGGACUUGUACACAUGAGGCAGCAGCUAGGGCUGCGAGCUCCGCCUCUGUGA
Non-coding RNA from Arvicanthis niloticus (Nile rat), 519 nucleotides. NCBI's taxonomy places the organism in Eukaryota, Metazoa, Chordata, Mammalia, Rodentia, Muridae. The record is from RefSeq and is a predicted model, not a curated record.